This 125-nucleotide small RNA is filed under the name Marmota monax (woodchuck). The record is from RNAcentral. Lineage: Eukaryota; Metazoa; Chordata; Mammalia; Rodentia; Sciuridae.
GCCGGGUGUGGUGGUGCAUGCCUGUAAUCCCAGCGGCUUGGGAGACUGAGGCAGGAGAAUCGCAAGUUCAAAGCCAGCCUCAGCAAAAGAGAGGUACUAAGCAACUCAGCGAGACCCUGUCUCUA